AUCUGUCGGGGAAGGGUGAGAACCUUCGAUUAAGGUUCGACUCGAGCGAAAGCGAGAGAACGUUGCCGUCAGGCGACGGCCCGAAGGGUGAGGAGCGAAGCGACGAAUAAUCCUUCCCCCACCACCA
Molecule: small RNA, 127 nt
Filed under: uncultured Superficieibacter sp.
Lineage: Bacteria; Pseudomonadati; Pseudomonadota; Gammaproteobacteria; Enterobacterales; Enterobacteriaceae
Description: RtT RNA
Rfam family: RtT RNA
About the family: This family represents a bacterial cis-regulatory element known as RtT RNA. The exact function of RtT is unknown although it is thought that it may be involved in changing the cellular response in relation to amino acid starvation.
Source: RNAcentral